GCCUGACGUAGCGACACCGCGUGAGCGAAGAAGCCCUUGGGUGUAAAGCUCUGUCAGCUGGAACGAAAAAAAAUGACGGUACCAGCAGAGGAAGCAUCGGCUAACUACGUGCCAGCAGCCGCGGUAAGACGUAGGAUGCAAGCGUUGUCCGGAUUUAUUGGGCGUAAAGAGUUCGUAGGUGGUUUUGUUAAGUUUGGUGUUAAAGAUUGGGGCUCAACCCUGAAACUGCACUGAAUACUGGCAGACUCGAGUGUGGUAGAGGCUAGUGGAAUUCCCAGUGUAGCGGUGAAAUGCGUAGAUAUUGGGAAGAACACCGGUGGCGUAGGCGACUAGCUGGGCCAUAACUGACACUGAGGAACGAAAGCCAGGGGAGCGAAUGGGAUUAGAUACCCCAGUAGUCCUGGCCGUAAACGAUGGAUACUAGGCGUAUCGGGUAUCGACCCCUGAUGUGCCGCAGCUAACGCGAUAAGUAUCCCGCCUGAGUAGUACGGCCGCAAGGUUGAAAACUCAAAGGAAUUGACGGGGGG
This 527-nucleotide ribosomal RNA is filed under the name uncultured bacterium. Its description in RNAcentral is "bacterial SSU rRNA". It matches the Rfam family "Bacterial small subunit ribosomal RNA", at positions 381 to 920 of the family's 1533-position model. The record is from RNAcentral.